Molecule: long non-coding RNA, 393 nt
Organism: Bactrocera dorsalis (oriental fruit fly)
Lineage: Eukaryota; Metazoa; Arthropoda; Insecta; Diptera; Tephritidae
Exons: 2
Source: RefSeq, a predicted model, not a curated record
CGCAUUUGAAAAUGUGAAAUUGCUGUAGUUCUGGCUGGAAGUUUCAGGAAAAUGUUGCGUUCCAUAGUUUUCGGUCUGCUCAUCUGUGUGAGCCUACAUUUGGUGCUGGCUGAUAAUGUUGGCACUUCAGCUGCAGUGAAUCCAGCGCUCCAAUCCGCAAGCUCUUUUUUGCUUUCCGGCAAAACUGUUGGGCAUGUAAAACAUGGGCAUGGUCAAAGGCGCAAUGCUACAACAACCACCACCACAACAGCUGCUCCAACGACAUAGAUCUGAAUAGAGAAAUUCAAUAAUCAAAUAGUGAUAAAUAAGAAAAAUUUACUUUAGAAAAUUAUUUAAAUUAUUAUGUGUCAAAAUAUUUGAUAAAUGUCAAUAUAAAUUCUGUGCUAAUGACAA